GGGUUGGUAGUCUAGUCAGGCUAUGACACCUCCUUCACAUGGAGGAGGUCGGCGGUUCGAAUCCGCCCCAACCCACCA
RNAcentral lists this transfer RNA (78 nucleotides) under Halobacterium salinarum. RNAcentral's name for it is "tRNA-Val (GAC)". It matches the Rfam family "tRNA". From Rfam's summary of the family: Transfer RNA (tRNA) molecules are approximately 80 nucleotides in length. Their secondary structure includes four short double-helical elements and three loops (D, anti-codon, and T loops). Further hydrogen bonds mediate the characteristic L-shaped molecular structure. tRNAs have two regions of fundamental functional importance: the anti-codon, which is responsible for specific mRNA codon recognition, and the 3' end, to which the tRNAs corresponding amino acid is attached (by aminoacyl-tRNA synthetases). tRNAs cope with the degeneracy of the genetic code in two manners: having more than one tRNA (with a specific anti-codon) for a particular amino acid; and 'wobble' base-pairing, i.e. permitting non-standard base-pairing at the 3rd anti-codon position. Lineage: Archaea; Methanobacteriati; Methanobacteriota; Halobacteria; Halobacteriales; Halobacteriaceae. The record is from RNAcentral.